RNAcentral lists this ribosomal RNA (492 nucleotides) under uncultured bacterium. RNAcentral describes it as "partial 16S ribosomal RNA". It matches the Rfam family "Bacterial small subunit ribosomal RNA", at positions 29 to 507 of the family's 1533-position model. The record is from RNAcentral.
AGUGAACGCUGGCGGUAGGCCUAACACAUACAAGUCGAACGGCAGCACAGUAAGAGCUUGCUCUUACGGGUGGCGAGUGGCGGACGGGUGAGGAAUACAUCGGAAUCUACUUUUUCGUGGGGGAUAACGUAGGGAAACUUACGCUAAUACCGCAUACGACCUACGGGUGGAAGCAGGGGAUCUUCGGACCUUGCGCGAUUGAAUGAGCCGAUGUCGGAUUAGCUAGUUGGCGGGGUAAAGGCCCACCAAGGCGACGAUCCGUAGCUGGUCUGAGAGGAUGAUCAGCCACACUGGAACUGAGACACGGUCCAGACUCCUACGGGAGGCAGCAGUGGGGAAUAUUGGACAAUGGGCGCAAGCCUGAUCCAGCCAUACCGCGUGGGUGAAGAAGGCCUUCGGGUUGUAAAGCCCUUUUGUUGGGAAAGAAAAGCAGCAGGUUAAUACCCCGCUGUUCUGACGGUACCCAAAGAAUAAGCACCGGCUAACUUCGUG